Sclerotinia nivalis is the source of this 100-nucleotide non-coding RNA. NCBI's taxonomy places the organism in Eukaryota, Fungi, Ascomycota, Leotiomycetes, Helotiales, Sclerotiniaceae. The record is from the annotation of a GenBank genome assembly.
GCCCGUUUGGCUUAGCGGUAAAGCGCAUCACUAGUAGUCUUCCGAAAGGUAAACAAAUAGAUCAAUGAUGAGAUCCUAGGUUCGAUUCCUAGAACGGGCA